RNAcentral lists this ribosomal RNA (254 nucleotides) under uncultured bacterium. RNAcentral's name for it is "partial 16S ribosomal RNA". It matches the Rfam family "Bacterial small subunit ribosomal RNA", at positions 524 to 776 of the family's 1533-position model. The record is from RNAcentral.
UACGUAGGGAGCGAGCGUUGUCCGGAUUUAUUGGGCGUAAAGAGCUCGUAGGCGGUUUGGUAAGUCGGGUGUGAAAGCUCCGGGCUCAACUCGGAGAGGUCACUCGAUACUGCCAUGACUGGAGUCCGGUAGGGGGGUGUGGAAUUCCCAGUGUAGCGGUGAAAUGCGCAGAUAUUGGGAGGAACACCAAUGGCGAAGGCAGCACCCUGGGCCGGUACUGACGCUGAGGAGCGAAAGCUAGGGGAGCAAACGGG